RNAcentral lists this ribosomal RNA (497 nucleotides) under uncultured bacterium. RNAcentral's name for it is "partial 16S ribosomal RNA". It matches the Rfam family "Bacterial small subunit ribosomal RNA", at positions 28 to 507 of the family's 1533-position model. The record is from RNAcentral.
GAUGAACGCUGGCGGCGUGCCUAAUACAUGCAAGUCGAGCGAACAGACGAGGAGCUUGCUCCCCUGACGUUAGCGGCGGACGGGCGAGUAACACGUGGAUAACCUACCUAUAAGACUGGGAUAACUUCGGGAAACCGGAGCUAAUACCGGAUAAUAUAUUGAACCGCAUGGUUCAAUAGUGAAAGACGGUUUUGCUGUCACUUAUAGAUGGAUCCGCGCCGCAUUAGCUAGUUGGUAAGGUAACGGCUUACCAAGGCAACGAUGCGUAGCCGACCUGAGAGGGUGAUCGGCCACACUGGAACUGAGACACGGUCCAGACUCCUACGGGAGGCAGCAGUAGGGAAUCUUCCGCAAUGGGCGAAAGCCUGACGGAGCAACGCCGCGUGAGUGAUGAAGGUCUUCGGAUCGUAAAACUCUGUUAUUAGGGAAGAACAAAUGUGUAAGUAACUAUGCACGUCUUGACGGUACCUAAUCAGAAAGCCACGGCUAACUACGUG